Molecule: long non-coding RNA, 342 nt
Organism: Lynx canadensis (Canada lynx)
Lineage: Eukaryota; Metazoa; Chordata; Mammalia; Carnivora; Felidae
Exons: 3
Source: RefSeq, a predicted model, not a curated record
UAAAAAGAAAAAAUGCACCCGUCCUCCCCACUACCUAGCAGUGACUUCAAUUUGUCAGUGAGUUGAAGAGACAGAGAUGAAGCGGACGCAGCACGUGAAGACAAUUCUUUCAAGAAGUUUGGCUGUAAAGGAAAAGAUAAAGGUGCUGAAGACCAUAUAAGCAUGGAGUAGACAGGCCACCUUUGCUACUACAUGGAAGCUUAUUUAAAAUUGAAGCUUAAAAAGCCAACCUGGAAGAUAGAAACCAAAUCCUGAUGACAUUAUUUGAGCCCAGGGAUCCAAACAUGCCCAAAGACUAUUUUGCCACUGGACUUUUCAGUUAAAUGAGCCAAUAAACUCUCU